This 247-nucleotide long non-coding RNA is filed under the name Elaeis guineensis (African oil palm). RNAcentral's name for it is "long non-coding RNA (EGUI_LNC013597)". The record is from RNAcentral. Lineage: Eukaryota; Viridiplantae; Streptophyta; Magnoliopsida; Arecales; Arecaceae.
UGCUUGACUGAUGUUCGUCGAAUGGUGCCACCCAGUCGUCGAUUCCGAUAGUCAGUAGGGCGUCGAGUAAGUAGUCGGCCGUAUGUCAAGUAUUACACGUCAUCAUAGCUGACGCAUCGAAUUGGAUCGGCUUAAUGCCGACUUGGUUAAGUGUGUUGCUUUUAGUCGGUCAAACAUCAUCGAUCUCAAUCAGUGGAGAGCUGAUUGGAGUAAAACUCGUUGAUCCAAAUUGGGUUGGGCCACAGCA